This 420-nucleotide RNase P RNA is filed under the name Rhodospirillaceae bacterium. RNAcentral describes it as "RNase P RNA component class A". It matches the Rfam family "Bacterial RNase P class A". Rfam says of the family: Ribonuclease P (RNase P) is a ubiquitous endoribonuclease, found in archaea, bacteria and eukarya as well as chloroplasts and mitochondria. Its best characterised activity is the generation of mature 5'-ends of tRNAs by cleaving the 5'-leader elements of precursor-tRNAs. Cellular RNase Ps are ribonucleoproteins. The record is from RNAcentral. Lineage: Bacteria; Pseudomonadati; Pseudomonadota; Alphaproteobacteria; Rhodospirillales; Rhodospirillaceae.
UCAGGCGGCCGGAUGACCGCUGCCCCAACCGUUUGCGGAUGGAGUGGAGGAAAGUCCGGGCUCCACGAGAAUGCGGAGCCGGGUAACACCCGGCGGGGCAACCCCAGGGAAAGUGCCACAGAAAGCAAACCGCCAGCCGCAGCUUGUGUCCACACAGUCGCGGUGGGUAAGGGUGAAAGGGUGCGGUAAGAGCGCACCGCUCCGCCGGUAACGGCGGUGGCAGGGUAAACCCCUCCGGGAGCAAGACCAAAUAGGGGCAGUACGCCGUGCCGUUCGCGACGCGGCAAGCGAAUUCUCGCGUUACCGCCCGGGUCGGUCGCUAGAGACGCCAGGUAACGGGCGUCCCAGAGGAAUGGUCAUCGCCCGCAUACAUUUUCUAUGUGCGGGAUACAGAACCCGGCUUACAGGCCGCCUGGCACA